This 315-nucleotide long non-coding RNA is filed under the name Homo sapiens (human). Its description in RNAcentral is "non-protein coding lnc-MAN2C1-8:1". Lineage: Eukaryota; Metazoa; Chordata; Mammalia; Primates; Hominidae. The record is from RNAcentral.
CCACAGCAGGCCAGCAAGGCCGAGGAGAAUGGUUCCAACAGCUUCAUGCACUCCAUGGUCCCACAGCUGGAGUGGCAGAUGGAGACCACCCAGAGCCUGGUGGACUCCUAUGUGGCCAUUGUCAACAAGACCGUGUGGGACCUCAUGGUUGGUCUCACACCCAAGACCAUCAUGCACCUCAUGAUCAACAACGUGCGUGCACCGCCUCAUGGGGGCAGGGGAACAAGGAGUUUAUCUUCUCGGAGCUGCUGGCCAACCUGUACUUGCAUGGGGACAAGAACAUGCUGAUGGAGGAGUCGGCAGAGCAGGCACAGC